This 36995-nucleotide long non-coding RNA is filed under the name Prunus persica (peach). RNAcentral's name for it is "long non-coding RNA (PPER_LNC001429)". The record is from RNAcentral. Lineage: Eukaryota; Viridiplantae; Streptophyta; Magnoliopsida; Rosales; Rosaceae.
AACUCAAUCCACUCCCGCCUCAACCACAACAACAACAAAGACCCACUCACCCAAUCCGCCGCCACCACCCUCCCCGCCAAGUCUGGUAUCGUUAUCGGCUCAGGGAACUACAUUGUCACCGUCAGCCUCGGUACACCAGCCAAGCAACUCUCCCUCGUCUUCGACACUGGCAGCGACCUCACCUGGACCCAAUGCCAGCCAUGUCCUACUACUCGGUCUUGUUACAAACAGACUGAGCCCAUCUUCAACCCUUCUCUCUCCGCCUCAUACAAAAAGAUCCCAUGUACCACCGCCGCGUGUACUCAGCUCCCAUCCUCCGGCCUCGAACAAAGCUGCUCCGCCUCCACCUGCCUUUACAUCGCCGUUUACGGUGACAACUCCUUCUCUAAAGGGGUAUUUGGCAGCGAAAAGCUUACAUUGACCCCUACGGACGUUUUUGAAAGUUUCCUCUUCGGCUGCGGCCUAGACAACGGAGGCCUAUUCAGAGGAUCCGCCGGUUUGCUAGGUCUCGGCCGGAGCAGCAUCUCCUUCGUCGAGCAAACCGCCAAUAAAUACAACCGGUUCUUCUCCUACUGCCUCCCGUCGACUUCCAGCUCCACCGGUCACCUCACCUUCGGUGACGGAGGCUCUCCUAACGGCGUUAAGUUCACGAAGCUCAUCACGUCAUCCCAAAGCGAGUCGUUUUACGGCCUCGGCCUCGCCGGCAUCAAAGUCGGUGGGAGCCAGCUGUCGAUUGCGCCCUCGGUCUUUUCGUCUUCUGGAACGAUCAUCGACUCGGGGACGGUGAUCACGAGGUUGCCGGCGACGGCAUACGCAGUGUUGCGGGGCGCGUUUCGGGAGGCGAUGAAGAACUACACACUGACUAAUGGCGAUUCGUUGCUGGACACGUGUUACGAUUUCAGCGGCUUGAACACGGUGUCAUAUCCGAAGAUAGCGUUUGUGUUUGGGGAUGGACUUACGGUGGACUUGGACGCGACCGGGAUAUUGUUUCCGAUAAGUCCUUCGCACGUUUGCUUGGCGUUUGCCGGAAACAAGGAUGAUAGAGACGUCGGGAUUAUUGGGAAUCUUCAACAGAAGAGGUUGGAGGUUGUGUAUGACGUGGCCGGAGGAAAAGUCGGAUUUGCCCCUGCAGGUUGCGAUUGAGUAAUGACGUCGUCCAUGGGUAUAAGUGUAAUACAAACAGCUUGCUAGCUAUAGAAUAAAGCAUUGGGUUACAUAUUUGUGUGUAAUGUUUGUCUGUUGUAAGUCGGUGUCUCCUGUUUUUCUUUUUUGGGUUCUUAUUCUUAAGGGAAAUACCCAUGUAAUUCUUAUUUUCUAGAUAUAAAUUUAACUAUUUCUAAAUAUUUAAGAUAAGUCUUAAACCCAAAUUCCAAAUAUGCUGUCAUUUAAGAUAAUAUAUAUUUGUCCUAGUAUUAUCAGUUAAAUUACAAUAUGUGCCAUUAACCUUCAUCAAUUCCUUCCUUUGUUUGCAACUAAAUUUCAUUUUAGAAUCUAAACCGAACUCUGUGCGUGUCCGACACUUGGCGGGUGCCGGGCACACUUGACUAAAUUGCGCUUCUAACGAAACCGAAGUUCAUCUCAAGUUUGACUUCUGUUGAAAAUUCGGCAGAAUCUUCCAUGUAAAUAGUCGCUACCCCAAAUUGCAUGAAGUUUACAUUCAAGCAAUCCAACAACAUAACUAUAUGGCCUUAGGCUUUACAGAAAUCCUAGGGCAAUUUCAGAGCAAUACUAAUCAGUUUAAUUUACAGGAAUAGUUCAAUUAUAAAAGAAAUCCUACAUAGCGGAAAAGAUGAGUGAAGAGUGGUGACUACCCUGUGGUGGCGCUCUGGUACACGACUACUGCCUUAGGGUGCAAAACAUUUAAAAGUGUGAGUGGACAAAAAUAAACUUUUGGAAAAUAGAAUAUUAACAUACUAACCCCACUGUUAAAACAUUAUGUUCUAUAUUCGUACAAGAAUAAAGACAUACAUAUAACUAAUCACGCAUUCAAAUUCUCAAAACCUUUUGAAGGCACUGUAAAGAAAUAAUAUAUUUCUCACUUAGGUGUACCCAUCAUAUAUCCGUCAAUUCCAUGGUCUUUUACUUAUUUCCCAUAUUAUACCCUCAAUUCCUUGUGUCACAUAAUGCGACACAUCCUCGCAAGUCUCGGAAACACAAAGUCACCGGAGCCGCAUUCCUCGCAAGACUCAGGGGACAUUAAGUCAACCUGAGCCGCAUUCCUCGCACCACACGGUUCGGGCAUCCUCGAAACUAGUGGGGCAUUGUCAAACGCGCACUGACUCAACCGAACGCAACUAGAAUGUCCGUGGACAUUAUUAUAACCGUAGGCAACAAUUUUAUCCGAAGGCAACAUAUUAUUCGAAGGCAACAUAUUAUCUGAAUGCAACAUUUUAUCCGAAGGCAACAUCUUGGGUACCUAUGGUGGUUUAAAAAUAUUUCUUAGAAAAAUUAUACUUUUAUUUCUCAAUAAAUCCUUCAAUCAUAUUAUCACUUCCUUUCCUACUUUCCAAGCCUUUUAAACAUGAACAAAAUUUAAUAAAGAUAUUUGAAUUCAAAUAUUUAUGCUUGGAAAGUAAUAGUCAUAAAUAAUUCAUUCAAAAUCAAUCAAUGAAACUUUAAUUGCAUAAAAUUCAUUUACAAAACAAAAGUUCACUCACUGAGCAUCCGAGCUAGCCUGACUCUUUGAGGGUCUUUCCUGCACGUUCAACGAAAUCUGAGUACCUAUUUAAGCAAUUAAAACAUUUUAUUAAUAAAAUAGCUCAACCACAAUUACUUAUUCAACACCCUGACCCCCGGCCUCAUAAGUGCGUGUACGUGACUUACAAAGGUUACUAGGCCCAUUUUCAACAUUUCUGACAGGUGGAAUGGUCUGAAAAGACCCGAGUUUAAAAAAGCGAUUAAAUUUCCAUAUUGGUAAAUCCGGUACCCCGUCGGGUCCACGACCGCCGAUUACCCAUCUAAGAGUUCCUAUAGGUUCAACACACUUUACUAAACAUGCCCUGCAAGUUUGGUCCGAAUCGAACGAUCGGAUUACUCACGAUCGCACGAUUAUCGUUUAACUUAAACUUUGAAAUAUUGAAUCAGAGUAUCCGAAACUCCGAUUCUCGAUCCGCGAAUUUCUACAUGAUCCCAGAAGCGCCUAAAUCAACCUAAUUGAAAAUGAAGUAGAUCCAACGGUCCCAACAUAUCAAACCAGGAUAACGCCUAAUAUACGAUAUCUGAUCGACGAUCAAACAAUAACCAAAUUGAAAUUCGAGUAUACCGUCGCGCUCAGGACGACGUGGGGAUCAUUCUGGGACAAAAAUCCAACAUUGACACCCCGCCGACGCGCCGCCACCACUGGCAGGUAUAUUGAGUAAUUUUUCGGCGAUCGAAAAACUCCGAACUGCCAGUCAAUAAUCAUACCUACGGAUUAAGCACAUCAAGAGGAGUAAAUAUCAUGAAUCCAAUUGACAUUGGAACAAAGUUGCAAGGUUUGGAAAUGAAUGUAGAUGAAGAUAUGAUGGUUCAUAUUGCUUAGAAUUCACUAUCUAAGGAGUUUAAGUCUCUCAGAGAUACCUACAUUUCUCAAAAGGAAAGCUGGACACGGGAUGAUCUUAUCACCAUAUGUGUUGAACAGUAACACAAUAUAAUAAGAGAAAGAGAUGAAAAAAUGGUGAAUCAGAUGCAGUCAAAGCAAAAUAAGGAAUAUAGGAACAAAGCCAUUGCAGCUGGAAAAGAGAAAGAAAAUGAAAAGGAUAAUAACAGUCCAAAUGCUCUGAAACCAGUGGGAUUGAAAUGCUUCUUCUAUAAGAAAACUGGACAUAUGAAAAAGGAAUACAUAAGGUAUAAGAAAUGGUUGGACAAACAGAAAACUAAAGGUAAAAGUGAUCAAGUUUUGGUUUGCUUUGAAUCUAAUUUAGUUGAUUUUAUUGAUGAUUCAUGGUGGUUAGACAGUGGUGCAUCUAUUCAUGUGACUAAUUCUUUGCAAGGGUUCAUAAAGAGGAGGCUGCCAAGCAAGGAUGAAGUGAAGGUGUUCGUAGGAAAUGGUAGGGGUGGCAUUUUAAACCGAAAAACCGAAAAACCGCAAAAAUCAACCGAUAUUUUACCGCAAUAAAACCGCAAUCGCGGUAAACCGAACCGCAAUCGCGGUAUUAAGAACCGAACCGCAUUUACGGUUGCGGUUGCGGUAUUUGAUUUUCAAAAUUUGCAGUUACCGCAAACCGCAAAGUAUAGCCGCACGGCUAUACUCUAUGAAUAAUUAAGUAAAAUUGUAAACCCUUCUCUUCUCUUGAAUUGGUGGAAAGGGAACCAAACAAGAUAUCCUAUUCUUUCACAAGUUGCCAAGGAUAUCUUUGCAAUUCCAAGUUCUACGGUUGCUAGUGAAAAUGCUUUUAGCCUAGGCAAGAGGAUUGUGGAUCCUUUUAGAAGCUCUUUGCAUCCUAAAAUGGUAGAGGCAUUAGUGUGUACUAGUGAUUGGCUUAGAGCGGACGAAUUUUCCUUUUACAAGGAACCAACAGAUGAUGAGGUUGAAUUCUACAAGGAAAUGGAAGAUAUGACAACUUGUAAGUAAUUAGUUUAUUUAUGCUAAUGUUAUUUAUGCUUCUUCUUAUAAUAAAAUGUACUAAACUAUGUUGUUUUAUUUGUAGAUAGCAUUGGUGCUCAAACAAUACAAAGGGGUUCUUCAAAUCCACUCACCACCAACACUUGAGUUUGUAACAUUGGUGUAUUGCAUUUUUCCUUUUAGUUUGUAACUUUAAUUAACUGUGAAUUGGAUUUUUCUUUUUGAUUGUAACUUUAAUUCAUUUUGCUUUUGGUUUGUAAAUUUAAAGGAUUUGGAAUUGGAAUGCUUGAGAAGUUUAACUUUAAUUGGAAUGUUUGGAAUUGUAACUUUAAUUUUCUUAGGUUGUGAAUGCUUGAGAAUUGGAAUCGAUUGUGAAUUUAUAUAUGCUUGAGAAAUUGAGGUUGUAUAUUUAUUUAUUUAGGUUGUAAAUUUAUAUUUUUGUGAAUGCUUGAGAAUUUGCGGUUUUAAACCGCAAAUUCUCGGUAACCGACCGCAUUUUUGCGAUUUACCGCAAUGCGGUAAACCGCAAAACGCGGUCGGUUUGCGGUUUCAAAAAUCACCAAACCGCAAAUAGUCGGUCGGUUUGCGGUUUGAAUAAAAAUUCGCGGUUACCGAACCGCAACCACCCCUAGGAAAUGGAGAAAAGUGCAAGUAGAUAAUAUUGGAGUAGUUAGGAUUGAACUAGAUUCUUGUUUUGUUUUUUAUUUAGAAGAUGUGGUUUAUGUUCCUUCAAUGAGCAAGAAUCUCAUCUCAGUUACUAGGCUUGUAAAGUCAAAGUUCACUUUGAACUUUGAUGAUUUUGGUUGUUCUAUUUUUAGAAAUAAAAGCUUAAUUGGAAAAGCAAGUAUUGUGGAUGGUAUGUUUCGAUUAAACUGCAAAAAAACUAUGCAAAUCAACUUAGUUCAAUCCAAACCAUGCAAAGAAUUAUAUUUUAAAUUGUGGCAUAAGAGACUUAGACGUAUUUCAAAGGCAAGAAUCAAUACUUUAUGCAAAGAAUUAGUUGUACCACCAUUGAAUCAUGAUAAUGCAGAUGAUAUAUGCCUAGAAUGUACAAAGGGAAAAUUGACCAACCUAAGAAAGAACGGUGUUGUAAGAAGUCAAAGUGUAUUAGAAUUAAUCCAUACAGACAUAUGUGGACCAUUCCCAACUCCAUCAUGAAAGGUUUAACUACUUCAUCACUUCUACAGAUGACUAGUCGAGAUUUGGACAUGUUUUUUUAAUCAAAGAAAAAUCCAGUGCUUUGGACAUGUUCAAAAUUUAUAAAGCUGGAGUGGCACUACUACAAAAAAGCAAAAAGACGACGGUAAAUCACCGUCGUGUAUUCGGUUUUUCAAUGGUCGUGGAAUCCACCAUCAUCUUUUCCCUCAUAAACCACGACGCUAAAUCACCGUCGUUGUUAAAAUAUACAACGUCAUCAACAAAUACAAAACGACGUCUUUGUACUGCAAAAAGAUCUAAAAAAGCAGUCGAGGAUGAGAAUAGACGACCAACUCUCUAAAAAAACCGUCGUUAAAAAGGAAAAAUAUGACACAUAUUAAGAGAACAAGGCCGCAAGAUAGACAUACAACGACGAAAAUAAAAAUACGACGCCGUUAAAUAUCAUUUUCACGACAAUAAAAAAUUUGACAUCUUUAAAUACAUUAGAAGACGACGUUAUUGAUACCUACUACGUCGCAUAUAUAAAAACAGUCGUCGUAAAAUUAAUUUUCCACUUCGAUUUUUCGAUAAAAGAUGACGUGGAAAUAGUUGUCAGUGUCAUUAUUUACGACGUAUGUAUUUAUAGAGUAGACGUUGAAAAACGAAACAACGUCGGUUACAAAUAUAUGAGAGUCGUAUUACAAAAUUUAUACGUCAUAUUUUCAGAAACAAACAACGACGAUAAAUAUUAGACGUUGUUAAAUAAAACAACGUCGGAAAACAAUAAAAACAGACGUGUUUAGUCUGCUAAAGUUCUAGAAAAUAGUCGAGGAUGAGAAUAGACGACCAACUCAAACAAAUCACCGUCGUUAAAAAAGAAAAAUAUGACACAUGUUAAAAGAACAAGGCCGCAAGAUAUACAUACAACGACGACAACUAAAAUACUACGCCGUUAAAUAUAAUUUACACGACAAGAAAAAAUAUGACGUCUUUAAAUACAUGAGAAGACGACGUUAUUGAAAUAUACUACGUCUCUUAUUUACAAACAACCGUCGUGAAAUAAAUUUUUCACUUCGAUUUUUCUAAAAAAGAUGACGUGGAAAUAGUUGUCAGUGUCAUUAUUUACGACGUAUGUAUUUAUACAGUUGACGUUGAAAUGCGAAACAACGUCGGUGGCAUUUAUAUAGUCGACGUUGUAUUUAUAUCUAUCAUCAUUACUCACGACACACUUAAUAAUAUAGACGACGUUGAACUUCUAAACAACGUCGGUUCCAAAUAAAUGAGAGCCGUAUUACAGAACAUAUAGACGGCGUUGAUUAUGAUGAGAGCCGUAUUACAAAUAACGUCGUUUAAUUGUUAUUAGACGGCGGUUAUAAUGAAUUUCCGUCGGAAUUCAUUUCGUUCCUCUUCGUUUAUAAAAGAACUUGCGACGUGAAAAAUGUAUGAUGACGUCGUAUUUUUUAACGUUCAGAUUAUAUAUCUCGUUUUUUAGACGUCGGUAUUAUGGGAUUGGAGUCGUGUUAUUUUGAAUUACAUGGCGGUUCUUAAUCCUUCCCCGACGUGAUAUCCUGAAUAAUUGCUUCACAAUAGCGUCGUGGUUCUUCAUUGUUACGUUGCUUUAAGACGUCGGUAAAUAUGCUGAAUAACUGGUUCACAAUAACGUCGUGUUUUAUUUGAACGUAGAAAGUGAAGAAAUCACAUUACAAUAUAUUAUAAAAUUAAUGUCAUACACUGCCAAUUACAUAAGCAUCAUUCAAUCCAUAUAUCUUCACACCCAUCUCGAAUAUUUUGACCGCCUAACUCACCCACCAGUUCAUCAAAUGUGUCAACAUUUGGCAUCCCUCUAGUAAAUGGCUCACACUCAAUUAUCACAUCACCUAAGACUUCAUCACCAAUAACAUCAUUAUAUUCUCUAUUAGGCAUUGAUAACACUACUGACCAACCACGAUGCAUCGGGUCGUCAACAAAAAAUAUUUGUUUGACUUGAGAAGCCAAAACAAAUUGGUCAUUCCUAUGUCCAAUUUUACUCAAAUCUACAAGGGUAAAUCCAAGUUCGUCGACUACAAGACCAGAACUAUCUAUCCAAUCACACCUAAAGACUGGGAUUGUAAACUUUUGGUAGUCAAGGUCCCAAAUUUCUUGAAUGACACCAUAGAAACCCAUAUUUGAGAGAAUUGGGUUUUUAUCCUUGGCACUAACACAUGGACAACGGAUAUGUAUUGUAGUUAGAAGAUUUUCUACAGCAAAGUUCAAAAAUGCUUCCACCCCAAAUUCAUAUGCCUUCGAUCUUCUAUCCGAGUGCAUCCAUGACUUAUCCAUCUCCGACACUAUAACCUAUUAUCUAUAAUAAAGUGAAAAUACAGGCAAUGACCAUCACUAUAGCAGAUUAUACAAUGAUCUAAUCGCAAGUAAUACACAACAGAGACGACGGGUUUUAAACAAAAACAGACGUAUUUGGCAUAUAUAGACGACGGAUUUUCAACAGACGUCGUCUAUUAUAAGUAAUACAAACGACGGUUUAUGAAAAAACCGUCGUGUAUAAGUAAUACAACGACGGUAGUUUAAAAAAACCGUCGUGUAAUCGUCGUCGUAUGCCUUAAAAUUUGUCGUGUCUCAGUUUAUUUUCAAGAACACAAAACCCAUUAAGAACACAACAUAUAUAUGAAACCAAGCAAGAAACCAACAUAUACAUGAAACCAAGCAUGAAAACAAUAAAUCCAUUCCCAAUUCAACAUAACAUAGGGUGAUUAAAAGAUACGACAAAAUUAAAUCCAUUCCCAAUUCAACAUAACAGAUAAUGUAAUCCAUGAACCCAUUAAACAGAAAAUCCAUGAACCCAUACCUAUAAGCACAUUAUUAACAGAUCGCAAAGCAUACACAUAAAACCCUUUAACAAAACAACCUAAUAUCACUCGAAUCGUUACUAGAAUCAUCACUCGAAUCCCCAUCUUCAUUAUCAGUUUCUUCCUUCGUAGGUACUAUUUGCUCCCCAUCAUUGGUGCACUUUGCACCUUCUCCAGAGCGGAAAAUGACAAGAUCAAAUAAAGGUGUACUUUUGCUGGAAAUCAACAUAAAAAGACACAGAUCACCAACUUCCAAAUGAUUGUCACGCACAACGUCCAUCCAACUACGCCUGAAUAAGAGCCAAAUCUAAAAAAAUUUAGGUCGCGCGAAAAUUUUUAGAGCUCGCGCGUUUUAAAACGUCGAAAGAAAAACCAAGGCGAAAGUUCUACAAGUACCGACGUAAAUUUAAUAUUCCACGACGGAAACUUCAUUUUUCGGAUUAAGAACGUAAGGCCGUUCAUUUUGAAGCUUCAUUUUUCGGAUUAAUUUUAAAUUUAUUUUGAAUUUUUUAUAUAACGACGACUGAAAAACCACGUCGGUGUUAAGAAAUUAAAGACGUUGUAAAUUAUAUAAACCGACUUACAUAUUAAAAUGACGUCGUUUAAAGCGUAAACCAUGUCGUAUGUUUUUCUGUACGACGUAAAAUAUGUAUUCCACGACGCAACCACCGUCGUUAAAAAUUAAUACCCUAAACCCAUAAAACUAAAUUAUACAAUUUAAAAAAUUAAGUUUAUAAAAGGUUUUAUGGUUUUAAAGCCUAACAUAUACCCUAGACUACCCAAAAAUUAUACUUUAAAAAUAAACCCCAAUAAAUAACAACCCUAAUCUCUAAACCCUAGACUCUAAACCCUAAACCAUAAAACUAGAAGUGAUUUUAUGACUCAUAAAAACAAUUUUGUUUUGGAUGGUCAUUUUAAAUUUUUGUUAUUCAAAAUGAAUUUUUUCAAGGUUUAUGUGGAAGAAAAUAUAUCAAUGACUUCAUAGGAGUUGACUUUUCAAUUUUCUGAUUUAUUUUAAAUUUAUUUUGAAUAUUUUGAUAUAAAAAUAAUAAAAUAUUCUUACCACAACAAUAAACCACGUCGGUGUUAAUAAAUUGUAGACGUUGUAAAUUGUAAUAGACUACUAAGUCGUUAAAAUGACGUCGUUAAAAUGAGAAACCAUGGCGGCUAUUUAACUAUACGACGUAAAAUAUAUAUUCCACGACUUAACCGCUGUCGUUACAUAAACGUCGUCGAUGAUACCCUGAACCCUUAAGAAAUUGAAGAUGUUGUAAACCAUAAACGACUCAAUUGUUCAAAGAACGUCGUCUAACUAUAUUUUUACGUCGUAUUUGUUUAAAACACGAAACAACAAAAUACGACGGUUUUUGACUUUAUUAGGUCGUUGGAAAAGUAUUACACGUCGGUUAAGCAAUUUGUAUGUUUGUUUUUUUUUUAAUUUAAGAAAACCUCAACAAAUUUUUACAUUACAUAUUAUAGAGAAAAUUUGUACAUUAUACAUAAAUAUCAAGUGUUCAAUAAUUGCCCUGUUUAAUAAUUUGGAAAACAAACUCUGCCCAUUCAUUCCGGACUUCAUCAAUGGCUUCUUGGGGGUAUGAAGCUUCCUGGUUUCCCUUGGCAUACUGCAUAAACAAUGACUAUUAGGGUUUAUAAAUAAAAAGAAAUUCAAUCACAGACGACGAUAUUUUUCAUAACCGACGUAGUAUAUCCAUUCAACGACGUUAAUUUUACAUGACCGUCGUUGAUAAUACAAAAAACGACGUGAAAUGUAUGAAGGUAAUUUCUUCUUACCUUAUUCUCAAACCCCAAGGAAGGAUCCAUGAUGAUGUCCCUCAUGAAGCGCAUCACAUAAUACCCGCAUUCGACAUUGCUGGGUUGCUUUGGUGUGCCUGAGAGAGUUUUCCAAAUUACAUUUUUACGUCCUGCUCGGCCUAUGUGGGUAUUAUAUAUUUUUAAAGCACUGUUCACGAUGUUUUUCGCCUCUUCGUCGACCACACGAUGACCUGGCAGAGGAUCCAGAAAAUAGACGGUCUCCUUCUUUGCUCUUACAAUCAGCAAGAUCCAAUGACGGCUGCACAAAAUUAAUAUAAAAACGACGGUUAUUUACAAAAACGACGUAUUAUAGUAUUUCACACGACGAAAUAAAGUAGAUAACGACGACAUUAUAUAUUUAUCACGACGAUAAAUAAAUACCGACGUGGUUAGUAGUUUCAAACGACUAAAUAAAAUAAAACACCGACGUGGUUAGUUUAUAAGCUGUCAUUUAUUGAAAAUCAUAAAAACAAAAUCCUAAGGAGACUAACCCUGGAUUGUAAGGCAUCAUGAAAAUCUGUUCACCGUCUGUCUUCUGAAGUCGAGCUGCUACCAGUCGUGAUCUUUCAGUUAUUGUGCCAGAGUUGGCACUAACUGUAGCAGGGUCGAUAAAGCUAACCAUGCUGCACAUAUUGGCUUGUUUCAAAACAUCGUGUAAGUACCUAAAUACAUAAAAUAAUAUAAACAAGUCAGCACAAACAAACACGACGGUUAUGUAUAAAAAAACGACGUAUUAUAAUAUUUCACACGACGUACUGAAAUAGAUGAGGACGUUAUAAUAUAUUUAUCACGACGGUAGUUAGUUAAGACGACGUGGUUAGUUAGUUAAGACGACGCAAUAUAUAAACCAACGAGGUAUUAUUUUAGAAGUACAAACCUCAUAUAUACAGCCAAUACAGUAGCUCCAAUUUCUUCCAUGCCUGCAAAUUGUGUAAUAUCUUCAGGCAGGAGGAAGGUAUCGUGCUCACCACCAAACACCUCCUUAUCAAUUGUAAAUUGGAGUGUCUUAUCCUCAGGCAGGAGUGUCGUUUCCACAAAAUGACAAAGGGUUUUUAAAGAAGAUGGCGCCUCCAUAUUUGAAUAAGCACCAACUUCAAUAACCUGUUUAAAGAAAUAAAAAAAAUGACGUGGUAAUUCAAUAAAGACGACGGUUUAAGGAAUAAAACGUCGUCUUAAAAGUAUUUAAACGACGGUGAAAAAACUGUCGUGGUAAUUCAAUAAAGACGACGGUUUUAUGAAUAAAGCGUCGUCUGAAACCAUUUAAACGACGGUGCAAAAACCGUCGUUUAAAUAUUUUAUUACGUCUUAAAAAAAGUCCGCCGUCUAAGUUUUAAACAAACGACGGAUUAAAUAAAAAUAUCGACGUCUGAAAUUUUGAAAAACAAAUAAAAAAAGGCAAAGUUAUGUGAACAUACCUUGUCGUCAUGCUUUUCUUCAUCUUCUUUCUCCUUUUCUUAUUCCUUCUCUUCAUCUCUUUUUUCUUCUUCCUUCUCUUCAUCUGGCUGAUGUUUCCCCAUUUUGGCAGUAUCAUCCUCCAAAUGUAGGGAUCUCACAUCACCUCCAGAGCAGCUAGCUUUGUCAGACAUUGGAUUUUUGGGGCUUUGGCUAAUUCUUGGUUUAAGCAUGCUUGGAUCAAAAUUGGGAAUUAAUUGGGAAAGCUGACUCAGGAAAUGCUCCCUCUCAGCCUCUACCAAUUGUUUUGUCCUAGCCUCCAUCCUUAAGGCUUCUUCCCUUGCCUUAGCCUCCAUCUUUUUAGUCUCUUCUUGAAGGAGAACUCUUAAACUGUCCUUCAAACGGUCGUCAAAGCUCACCCUCUGUGGUUUGGGCAAAUUGAAAUAUUGCCUUGGGGAAACACCAGCACCAACUCUCCUCACUCUGCCUGGAUGCUCGGGGCCCAAAGCCAUGGUCAGCACAUCAUUGCUGCCAUCUACUCUGACUUUGCCUUCCGAGACUUGUUUCUGCAAUUCAUCCUAAAACAAAGAUAAACAAAAAAACACACGACGGUUAUUUAUUUACAAACGACGUAUUAUAUAAUUUCACACGACGCAAUAACGUAUAAACCGACGUUAUUAUAACUUAUCACGACGGUAGUUAUACCGACGUGGUUAUUUAUUUAAAACGACGAAAUGAAUAAACAACCGACGUCUUAUGCUAUAAUUAAAGAAAACAGAGUAGUGAUUCCUAUUUAGACCGUUAACGACGUUUUUAAAAAAGUUUCGACGUGGUAAUAUCAUUCAAACGACGCGAAAAUGAACCACCGACGUCUUAUGCUAUAAUUACAGAAAAUUAGUAGUGAUUCCUAUUUAGACCUUUAACGACGUUUUUAAAAACUUUUCGACGUGGUAAUAUCAUUCACACGACGAAAAAUAUAACAUACGACGUAAUAAGAAUAAUUCACAGUUUAAUAAAAAUUUAAAACAGAGUGAUAGUAGGCUUACAAUUAAUUUUGCUUUCUCUGCCACCUUUGGAUCAGGGAUGUUACCAUGUUUGUCCUGUCUAGCUCUCUUCCAUAAGGUAGAUCGAUCAAUUUCUACCCCAGGCAUGGUUUCCUCCAAUUGAUCCUCCAAUCCAGCAUAUCCUUUUCGAGACAAUCGAUGAUUGUACUCGAGUUUCUUCCUAAUCUGUGCAUGUUGAGAAUGCACAGACUCAAAAUCUUUGGAUAGCCUUGAAGCUACAAAGGCAUCCCAUUGUGCUUUCUCUAUGAAUUUAUAUGUUUCAGGGGGUUGGCUUAAUUUCUCCCUGUCAUUGGUGUAUGGAAGGAUAUAAUGCCUCGUUAGUGUAGACUUGAAAUCCUUCCAUUUCUGGAAGCAGAAGCUAAAACAGAGGUCUUGCCCCCUUGGCCUACGACAAAAGCCAUGUCAACUGCUUCCCAAAUCUGCUCCUUUAUAUCCUUGGGGAUUUGGGACCAUUUCUUGUCCACAAGUGGGAUCCUGGAGCGUGCCAACACACCAAUAUACGACUGCAUCUCAAUAUGUGCUUGGCCAACACCUUUCCCCCUUUUAUUGUACUCAACAAUUGGCCUCAGUUUCUGAAGCUUUCUCUUCACAACACGAGGCAUUGUGCUCAUACCUCGACCAGUCUUUGAAUCAUCAGAGAUUGUUGUCUGGCUGGUUGGUUCUGUCUCAGCAGAUGAUGAAGCAAACUUCAUCUUCUUCGAAGACUUCAUCUCCUUCGAAGACUUGUCUUGAGGAGCUACCAUUCCAAGCUUCUUGGAGCCAGAAUCCUUAGUUUGUUGUUGAGAAACCAUUUUAACAGACAAAACUGCAAGUGAAAAUAUUUCAGGAAAACAUUAAGAACACAAACGACGGUAUUAAAAAAAUACGACGUAUGAUAUGAUUUUAGACGACGCAAUGAAAUAAUCUCAGACGUAAUAAAUGUUUAAAACCAUUAUUUAUAUAACGUCGUGGUAUAUAUGUUCACACGACGUCAAUAGUAAUACACCGUCGUGGUAAACUAUUAUUUAUAUAACGUCGUGGUAUUUAUGUUCAUACGACGUUAAUAGUAAUACACCGUCGUGGUAUUAACAUUCACACGACGUAAAACAAUAAGAUAUUUUGUCGUCUAUAUUAGAUACCAACCCUAGUUUCUUUUUCUUUAUAUUUUAUCAAAUAAGGGAAAAACAAAAACCAUUGUUCAGAGAAAUCAAACCUGCAAUUAAACAAGCAUAUAAAAAAAGACUAUUAUUUUAAAAACAACUUUGUCAAUUUUCAGACGACGCUAGAACAACUGACGAACCGUCGUGGUCUACCGUCGUCUUAUUUAGUUGAGGUAGUUGUCUUCAAAGUUGGAAACUUUCCCUCUUUGUCUGUAUAUUUUAUCAAAUUUGGAAAGAAGUACAAUGAUUUUGGCCAGAAAAAAGGUAAAAAGAUUUUUCAAACAAAAAACGUAUGAGCAUGCAAAACAGUAACCAAAAUAGUGAAAAUGAAAGCUUACCUUUUGCGUGCAAUGAAAGCAAGAGGAAGAUGAUCGAUGUUUAAGUUCAAGGACGACGAAGAAGACGAGAGGAAGACGAUGAGAAACUCUGACAAUGCUCUGACAAGGAAAAAAGACGAAAAGGUUUCUCUGGAGAUUGAAAUUUUUAAUCGGGUUUGGAAACAGUGCAUGUGUAAGUUCAAAAGUUGCUUACAUAUAAAACCAUUUCAAAAAAAUAAUACGGCGGUUACAUUUAACUACGUCGUUUUUAACUAACACGACGAAAUAUUUUUCGUUCGACGUGGAAUCAUUUCAUUUAACGUCGUUAGGUUUAAUAUAACCGACGUGGAUUUUAAUUUUUAAAUUAUGAAUAUAAUUUUUUUUCCCGUGACCUUUCAGUUUAUUUUUCAAUUACAGUGCGUUAUAAAUAGAGUUCUUUUUCCAGAGGAAAUUUAAAACGAAGGAAAUUAAUAUUCUGCAAUAUGUAAAGUUUCUUUUUUGGAUGACAGAUUUAAAUAAAAUAAGAAUAUAAAAAUAACUAAUGUGUAAGUCAAGUAGACGAAAAGUUGCUUACAUAUAAAAUCAUUUCAAAAAAAUAAUACGGCGGGUACAUAUAACUACGACGUAUAAAGUACAAAAUACGACGGUAAAUUUAACUUCGGACGUGGUAAAUAAAUACGACAGUAGUGUUGUAGGUACCGUCGUAGUAAACUCAAAAAUUAAAGUACAUAAGUAAUAACUCGCGUCAUGGUAGAUUAUUUAAGACGUCGUGAUUAUUAAUGUACCGACGUGGAGUUCUGUAAUAUACGUCAGUAAUACCGACGUUGAUUUUACAAUUUAAACGGCGGUUUUUUGGUAAGGACCGCCGUUGGUUUUAAAAAUUUAUUCUAUAAAUUUGUCGCUUUCAUUCAUUUUCGCGGUUUACAUUUAGGGUUCCAAGUUCUUCCUCUCUCAGAGACACUGUCUCUCACAUCUCAAAGACAAUAAUUUGGAGGUCUUUCUCAAAGAGAAAUUGAGCUUACAUUUAGGCUAGUUGACAAGAAGAAGCUUGUCAACUAGCCUUCUCACUUCCUUGAUCAAGCCUGAUAGGACACUUAGUGCUUCUGAAUACUCCUUGCUUUCCAUCAAAAGAGAUGCAAGCCUGGCCUCCACUCGUUGUCGAAGGAAAGUUCGCUUCUCAGGGAAAUCUGAAAAUCAGAUGUGCUUGAUCCUCUGCUUGAUUUUUUUGACUAAGAAGAUCCGUCAGAUUUAAGCAUGAGCAAUCGAAUCCGUAGAGCUUCAGAAGAAGAAGAAGACAUUGUCAAUGCUUUGAACUAUACAAGUCUGCAGAAAGAUAAAGGACCAAACUGUUAAAGAAACUGAAACAACGGCGGUUUUCUGUUCUACCGUCGUCUUUUCUCGUCGUCUAUAUUAAGGUAAGAUGGCGGUAGAUUUAUAAUUACCGACGUAGAUUAUUUUGUUAAACGUCGUUAAGUGUACUACAACCGACGUGGAUUUUAUUUUUAAAUUAUAAAUAGAGUUUUUUUUCCAGACUUCUUUCAGUUUUAGUUUUCAAUUACAAAGCGUGAUAAAUAGAUUUUUCUUUCCCGAGGAAAUUUAAAAUGAGGGAAAUUAAUGUUCUAGAAUUUGUAAACUAACACGACGCAAUAUUACUAACCCGAGGAAAUUAUAAAUAGAUUUUGCUUUCCUGAAGAAAUUUUAAAUUAAUUCAGUUUGAAACAAAACGACGGUUUUUUGUUAUGCCGUCGUUUUUAACUAACACGACAGAUUUAAAUAAAAUAAGAAUAUAAAAACAACGACUGUUUUUUUACUACUGUCGUCGUUUUUCGUCGUCUUAAGUAAGACUAAGACGACGUAAUAUAUUUGUUGAGCGACGUUGAUUUGUUUUUAAACGUCGUUAGGUAUAAUAUAACCGUCGUUGAAAAUUGUCUCUCUGAUUGCAAAUUUGCAACGACGUUGAUCAACUUCCAAAAAAUUGUCUCUCUGAUUGCAAAUCUGUGUCAUCUGUUAAGAUUAUUUUGUAUUUUAAAGCCGUGGAUUUGUUUGUAAUUAUACGGCGUCUUAUACGAAAACCUCGUCGUGUUAUUUUAUGAGUAAAAACGGCGGCUUUUAUUGAAAUCGUCGUCUUUACUUUCUACGUCGGUCUAUUCAUAACUUCUGCCGUUCUUUGUUUGCUUUGAUUUUACAUUGCGGAAAUCUGUUUCAAAUAGACGUCGGUUGUUUAAUUAGGUACGUCGUUGUUUUUGAACAGCCAUUUGAAUCUCCAUUUUUUAGUUGUCUAAGGUGGUAUUACACGACGGUGUUUUUAGAACCGUCGUCUUUUUAAAAACCACGACGGUUUUCACUUAGACCGUCAUUGUUUUCUGGUCGUCUUUUUCACUUUUUGUAGUAGUGUGGAAAACCAACUAGACCUAAAGAUAAAAGUUGUAAGGCCUGACAGAGGAGGAGAGUUCUAUGGGAGAUUCGAUGAGCUUGGAGGAAUCUUGGUCCUUUUGCAAGGUUUCUAUAGCAAGAAGGAAUCAUUGCUCAAUACACUAAUCCAUAGACUCCACAGCAAAAUCGAAUUGCAUAGAGGAGAAACAGAACUCUAAAGGAUAUGAUAAGAAGCAUGAUGUGAUGCACAAACUUACCAAUUUUUCUGUGGGGAGAAGCUUUGAACACAUCAAAUCACAUACUCAAUCGAGUACCAAACAAGGGUAUCAACAAUAUCCCUUAUGAAGUUUGGAAUAAGAAAAAAUUACGCUUGAAACAUUUGAAAACAUAGGGCUGCAAGAUAGAGGCAAAGCUUUAUAACCCUAUGGAAAAGAAGCUGGAUUCGAGAACUGUAAGUGGUUAUUUCAUAGGAUAUCUAGAUAGAACUAAAGGAUACAGAUUCUAUUGUCCUAAAAACACUACCAGAUUUGUAGAAACUCAGAGGGCAAUGUUUAUAGAAUCUGAAGGUGAGACAAUCGAAGAUGAAAAUUUUGAGUUUGAUGAAGAUAUUGCAGAAACUGGGGAAACAAUACAAACUGACAUUUUGGUGUUACUAAGUUUUGACUUGAAUGGCAAACAAAACAACCAAGAAGGGCAAACUGGUACAGACCCUAUGGUCACUGAAGAAGAAACUCAAGAAAAUCAAGUUUUACUACCCGAAAAUCAAGAUGUAGUUCAAACACAAGAAGGAACUAAUAAUCAGACAAAUGCAGGACUAAGAAGGUCAGAAAGACCAAAGAAACGUGCUUUACAUAAUGAUUAUGUUUACCUUCAAGACUCAGAGCAUAAUGUGAAUGACAUUGAGGAUCCUAUGAACUUCAAGCAAGCAAUGAUGAGUAACAAAAAUGAAAAUUGGUGGGCUGUUUUGAAAUCAUAAUUAGGUUCCAUGGAAAAUAAUGGAGUUUGGGAGCUUGUGCCUUUACCAUAAGGGAGCAAACCAAUUGGCUACAAGUGAGUGUUCAAAACCAAGAGAAAUUCGAAGGGGUGGAUAAAUAGAUAUAAGGCUAGAUUGGUUACUAAGGGGUUCACACAGAAAGAAUGAAUUAAUUUCAAUGAGACCUAUUCACUUGUCAUAACAAAAGACUCCUUGCAAGUGAUCAUGGCACUAGUAGCUCAUUUUGAUUUACACUUGCCUCAAAUAGAUGUUAAGACUACAUUCUUGAAUGGAAACUUGGAGGAAGAAAUUUAUAUGCAACAACCAGAAGGUUUCAUUCAAGAGAAUGGAGAAAAUCUGGUUUGCAAGUUGUGUAAAUCAAUCUAUAGUCUAAAACAAGCAUCUAGAGAGUGGUAUAAGAUUCAAUGAAGUUGUUAAACUAUAUGGUUUUACAGAGAAUGUCUUAGAUAAGUGCAUUUACAUGAAGAUGAGUAGGAGUCACUUCAUAAUUCUGAUUCUUUAUGUAGAUGACAUUCUGCUAGCUUGCACCAACAUGUCCAUGUUACACGAUUGCAAGGCAUUCCUGGCUAAACAUUUCGACAAUGACAGAUUUGGGAGAAGCCUCAUACAUUUUAGGAAUCGAAAUUAGCAGAAAUAGAAAGAGAGGUUUGUUGGGACUAUCAUAGAAAACUUAUAUAGAAAAGAUACUCAAAAGGUUUAACAUGCAAGGCUGUGCAAGGUCAGAUGUGCCUAUUUCGAAGGGAGAUAAAUUUAGUACUAAUCAAGCACCAAAGACUGAUCAAGGAAAGCUUGAGAUGGCAGAUAAACCUUAUGCAUCAUUAGUGGGGAGUCUCAUGUGUGCACAAGUAUGCACAAGACCUGAUAUUACUUUUAUAGUAAGUGUAUUGGGAAGAUUUUAGUCAAAUCCUGGACAAGCAUAUUGGAUUGCUGGUAAAAGAGUCAUGAGAUAUUUGCAGAGAACAAAAGACUAUAAGUUGGUUUACAAAAGAAGUGACAGACUGGAAGUAGAAGGUUAUGCUGAUGCAGAUUUUGCAAGUUGCAAAGAUGACUUGAAAUCUACAUUAGGAUAUGUUUUCCUAUUUGAGCAGCAAUAUCAUGGAGAAGUAACAAGCAACCACUCACAAUUGCAUUGACUAUAUUGGCAGAAUUUCUGGCUUGUUAUGAAGUAACCACUCAAGCUAUGUGAUUAAAGAACUUUAUCACUAGUUUGGGUGUGGUUGAAUCAAUUCAACAACCUAUACAUCUUUGGAAUAAUAACAGUGCAAGAGUACUUUUUGCAAAAGGGAAUAAAAGAACAAAGGCAUCAAGAAUUCUGGAAGUUAAAUUCUUUGCUGUCAAAGAAAAGACUAGAGAUGGGCAUACUGUGUUGGAGCACAUUGGCACAAAUGAAAUGGUUGCAGAUCCACUUACUAAGGGGUUACCAAAUGUUGUUUUUCACAGACAUGUGAUUAGCUUGGGAUUGACAGUUCAUUUGGAUGACUAAAACAAUGGGAGUUUUAUCAAGUUCUGGUAGUUUAACUAGUUUUGCUAUUUUCUAUUUAAAUUCAUAGAGUGGUGUUUUAAUUUGGAUGAUUUUCAGUUUAAGGAUUCGAAUAUAGUAUAUUUAUGCAAUGUAGUUUAUAUGCACAUGUGAUUACUUGAAUAUGUGUGGGUGGCAUAGCAUGCAUUUAAGCUAGCCAUGAGAAGAUUGUAUUCAUGACAGUUUGUAAUUUUUGUUAUGCAAAUUGAGACCUUGUUAGUCAUUUAUAGGGACAAAGGAAUUAGAUGACUUUUGUUUAAAGCACUUUCAGUAAGGUCAUCUACAUUCUAAAGUUUUAAUCUUGAUCGAAGCCUUAUGUGGUGUUGAAGAGUUUUAAGUGUGAAUAUAAAGACUUUGAUAACUGUAUGAUCAAUAAGUCUCUUAUAAUUUUUCUUCAUUAACAACUUAGUGGGAAUUUUAUCUGGAUAUACUUUCACAAGGCCUUAAAGUGAUCAAUACGAGUUUUCCUUAGCGAUUAUUUAACCAAGUGGGAGACUGUAAGACAAAUCCGUGUCUUAGUCUAAAUUGUGGUCUUCUAAUCAUAUCUGGUUUGGAGGAGCUCUAAUUGAUCAGGAAGUAUUAAUCCUAAUACAAGUAGGAUACUCAAUCAAACAGUGCGUUUACAUUGAGAUAGGAGUAUCUUAAGGAUUCCUAAUUCUAUAUGGAUUAAAACAUCCAAUUCCUAAGUAAACAAAAUCUGUUUGAGUACUCCUUGAUGGGUAAGGUACCGGAACAGAUGCUUAUAAAUAAGGUCCCUUUUGUAUCGGCUAAAAUACACUCAUAACAGAAAACUCACCCCAUCCAGAGAUAGAGAUAAAGAGCCGAGUUGGAGAAGAAGAUUCUUAUUCACAAUGUCUGAUCAAGGUUAGUAUUUGAGAUUCAAAGACAUGAUAACUUAUAGUAUAUAUGGGUUGUUAAGAUUUUAUCCAGAGAUUCAAAGAAAGCUUUUUUCUUUUUAUUAAACCCUUUUCAUCUUUUUCAAUGGUGCACAGUGCAAUAUCCGAGUGGGGAAAUUGGGAAAUUAAAGGAUGAAAAAUAAUAAUUGGGGCAUGCCAAAUUGGCAAAUGCGUAAAGGAGAUGAAGCCUAUCAAAAACAUCAUUUGUUGGCAAUGGAAACUGCAGGAUGAUUGGAAGUUAAGCCAUCUAAAAUCUCCAUCAGUAUCUCUCACUCACUCAUCUUUUGGGACAGAUUCCAGCUUUCUUCCACCACCCACUACAACCUCUCUGUCUACCCCACACCCAAGCAAGAUUCCAAUUAAUCAUCUUCGCUCUCUGAUAAAAGAUUCCUGCUGUUAAUUUAUUCGCACCAGAAAUUAGGGAUGGCCCAUUCACAAUCAAACAAACACAAGAUAACUUUGCUGGACCGCUCAUUUUCUUUAAUUCUACUAAGGCAAUUACAUUAUUGUGACAACGAUUGUCUUAAUCUCAAAUAUCUUCAAGUACAGAAAUGAUAAGUAUUUAGUCUGGAUCAUAAGAAUAUAGUGGUAAAUACAAUUAGUUUCUACCUCAACCUUUUUGAGGCAUUUCGACGAACUGUUUAAGGAAAAUAUCAAUAGAUAACUGAAUUGAUGAGCCAGAUUAAGAACAUAGAUGUCCGAGUGCAGAAUAUAGUAAUUUAUAAACAAAUGAAAAUAGUAUUUUUCCAGUAAUAAUUUUUGAAAAGAACUAAUGAUAGAGACCAAUUGUUUAAAUUAAACAACACUUUGUUUUCUUGUAAUACUUUCAAUUAGUUGGAUGAUUGGUGUGGUCUUCGUGGACUCAGUUGUUAGUUGGAUAAUUAGUUAAACGACUAUAAUUAGAUGUUUUAAAUAGCUUUCAAUUGUCUAAUAUUUCAUAAAAAUCAACUGUAAAUUACGACUCAGAUGGUUGAAAUACAAUUUACUUCAAAAUAACAAAUUAUUCAACGUGUUGAGAAUGUUGUAUAUGGAGUCUACAUAGACUUGACUAGUUGGGUGUUAGGCAAUUAUGAAUUGAAAAUAUUUGUCAUCAGUAAAUGCUUGGAAAUUAAUGCCAUGUUUGGUAUGUCUCAUUAUGUCUUAUUGGACUGGACUGUGUUGUAUAGUACUUGAAAUCCAUAUUUGAUAAUGGAGGGGAUUAACUUAAAUGGGAUUAUAUAGUUCAUCAGUGUAAAAAAGCUCCGGACUCACUUGUCUAAUAUAGCAAUGCUGAAAUGUGGUUCGUAAAUUAGCGAGAACGCUAUUUUGAGCAUGCAGUCCAACCCUUGGCUUGAAUUACAACUUUUUUUUUAAUGAAAUAGGAAGGAAAAAAAAAACACGAUAACAAAAAGAAAAGAGAGAGAGAGAGAGAGAGAGAGAGAGAGAGAGAGAGAGAGAAAUGCUAGGAAAAAAAAUAAAAACAGAAAAAGAGAGAGAAAUUAAUAAAAUAAUUAUUUUUUAGUCCGACACAGAAUCAAACAUAGGUCUUCACUAUUUUUACAAUUCAACUAUUUAAUCCGACGUAACACCAAAAGUAGCUCAAUAUUUAAUCCAGCUUACGCCAAACGAACCCUAAGCCCGAUAACCCCAGUUGACAUCGUCCCUGUCUCCAAUUAGCCUAUAUAAGGCCAAGGGUAUGCUUACAUUACAGCAGCAACUCAAUAAUCUAGAGGUAAUCUUGUUAAUUAUUCAUGGAAACUCCCAUUAUUUUUAGCUCCUCCUUCCUUAGGUUUUUCAUGGGUUUCUUCUCUGUACUUCUAUGCCUAAUUCUCUGCUCUUUCGAGAACGGAUUUGCUUCGGCAGCAAGAGAUACAAAACCCCACCUUCUGCCACAUACCACUCACACAGUUGAAGUAAACUCUCUUCUACCAGCAACCACCUGCAGCCCCUCCACCAAAGGUUAAUUCAUCCCAUAUUAUAUAUAUAUAUAUAUAUAAAACUUAAUUUCAAUGCAUUUAUGUAUCUCUAACACACACUCUCUCUCUCUAUGCAUACAUGUUUCGAUGAUCUCAGGUCAUAACAAUAACAAGGCAUCAUCGGUAUUGAAAGUGGUGCACAAACAUGGGCCAUGCUCCAAAUUCCACAAAUCAUCAAAAACUUCAACCACAACUAGUGAUGAAAAAUACCAUGCUCAAAUCCUCAAGCAAGACCAAGCCCGAGUCAACUCCAUCCACUCCCGCCUCAACCACAACAACAACAGCAGAAUCAAAGACCCACUCACCCAAUCCGCUGCUACCACCCUCCCCGCCAAGUCCGGUAUUGUUAUCGGCUCACCGAACUACAUUGUCACCGUCGGCCUCGGUACACCCGCCAAGCAACUCUCCCUCGUCUUCGACACUGGCAGCGACCUCACCUGGACCCAAUGCAAGGCAUGUUCUGCUACUCAGUCUUGUUACAAUCAGACUGAGCCCAUCUUCGACCCUUCUCUCUCCGCCUCAUACAAAAAUAUCUCAUGUACCACCGCCGCGUGUACUCAGCUCUCAUCCUCCGGCAUCGAACACCGCUGCUCCGCCUCCACCUCCGCCUGCCUCUACGCCGCCGGGUACGGAGACAUGUCCUUCACUAUCGGGGUCUUUGGCAGCGAAAAGCUUACAUUGACCCCCACGGACGUUUUUGAAGGUUUCCUCUUCGGCUGCGGCCUAGAUAACGAAGGCCUUUUCAGCGGAUCCGCCGGUUUGCUCGGUCUCGGCCGGAGCAGCACCUCCCUCGUCGAACAAACCGCCAAUAAAUACAACCGGUUCUUCUCCUACUGCCUCCCGUCUACUUCCAGCUCCACCGGUCACCUCACCUUCGGAGACGGAGGCUCCGCUAACGGCGUUAAGUUCACGAAGCUCAUCACGUCAUCCCAAAGCGAGUCGUUUUACGGCCUCGGCCUCGCCGGCAUCAAAGUCGGUGGGAGCCAGCUGUCGAUUGAGCCCUCAGUCUUUUCGUCUUCUGGAACGAUCAUCGACUCGGGGACUGUGAUCACGCGGUUGCCGGCGACGGCAUACGCGGCGUUGCGGGGCGCGUUUCGGGAGGCGAUGAAGAACUACACGCUGACUGAGUCGUUUUUGUUGCUGGACACGUGUUACGAUUUCAGCGGCUUGAACACGGUGACGUAUCCGAAGAUAGCGUUUAUGUUUGGGGAUGGACUUACGGUGGACUCGGACGCGACCGGGAUAUUGCUUCUGAUAAGUCCUUCGCAGGUUUGCUUGGCGUUUGCCGGAAACGAGGAUGAUAGUGACUUUGGGAUUAUUGGGAAUGUUCAACAGAAGAGGUUGGAGGUUGUGUAUGACGUCGCUGGAGGAAAAGUCGGAUUUGCCCCUGAAGGUUGCCCUUGAGUAAGGGAAAUACCCAUGUAGUUCUUAUUUUCUAGAUACUGGCCCCUGGCACAUGCAUGAUCUUGUGUCAAUUGGUUUUCUUUUAAAUAUAUAUUGUUUUUAGAAUUAAGAAAAGGUAAUAUAAAUAGUUAUGUUCUAUAAAAGUAGAAUCUAUUAUCUGAUUUUAUUUUAAUAUGAAUUUAUCAUAUUAUCCUUAUUUAAUUAAUAAUUUCAAUUUUUAAUGUUUGUAUUAAUUAAGGGCAUUUUUUGGUAUUUUAAAUAAUUUACCAUUCUCUGCAUUGCUUUAUAUAUAUAGAUAAUUUAACUAUUUCUAAAUAUUUAAGAUAAACCCAAAUUCGAAAUUUGCUGUCAUUUAAGAUAAUAUUUGUCCUAGUAUUAUCAAUUAAAUUACAAUAUGUGCCAUUAACCUUCGUUUGUUUGCAACUGUACAUUGAUUCUUUUCCUAAUAAACACUGUAUAGUCUCUUGGAUGCAUGAUCCCUUCCUUGCCGUAAAUUUGUAUUGAUUUCAUAAAAAGUAAUAAUCAAAAUAAUUGAUGUACUGAUUGGAAUUUGUUUUUAUUAUAUAUAAAUGGCACGUAUAUUAUUUUUACAAUGUGCCUACAAUGGUGCUCAUUUUUAAAUAAAAAUAAUUUACCUGUAUGACAUGUACUUAUAUUGUACCUUAUUAUCUUUUAUUGAUAAUAGGAACAUUAUGUAUUUUAAAAAGAGGUACGUUAUCUUAUAUUGAUAAUGUCAAUUUAUCUAUUAUCUCUUAUUGAUAAUAAUUUGGGAGAUUUUGGAAAAGCCCAAAGGAGAGAGAAAAUUUUUAAAAGAAGCCGAAAUGGACAAAAUUGCCCUUAUUUAUUUUUUGAUUUCUUAAGGAAUCUUUUACAUUUGCAUGUCUUUGGUUUGAAAGUUGAGAGGUUUUUCUGUCUUUUUUGAAAAAGCUUUGGCUUUUUUCAAAAGUGAAAAUUUUUUUAUGGGUAAAACCUAAAUUUACUUAAUAAAUAAUUUACCUAUUAUCUUGUACUAGCCUCUUUGCGUGCGCUUCUGCGCUUGCGAGAGGAUUUUUUUUAAAAAAAAUUUAUUUUAGAAUUAAAAAAGAUAAUUGGUAGUUGUGUUUCAUAAAAAUAGGAUCCAUUAUUUGAAUUUUCUUUUAAUUUUAUUUUUUUAAUAUGAAAAAGUGUGAAUUUACUAUAAUAUCCUCAUUUAAUUAAUAAUUUCAAUUCUUAAUAUUUGCAUUAACCAAUGGCAUUUUUUGGCAUUUUGAAUGUUUUAACAUUCUCUGCCUUUUGCUUUAUAUAUAUAGAUGAUAAUAGGUAAAUUAUUUUUAUAAAAUAUUUGGUACAUUAUUUUCAAAAAUGCGUUAAAUGAGUUGGGUAUAUUAUUUAAAUCAUAAGUAAAUCAUAAUAAAAAAAUGAUGCAUAAAGAGUAUUGAAUUGCAGUUACCAAAAAAACAAGUACUGAAUUGCAGGCUAAUUCCAGGUACUAAGACUUAAUACACCUACCAUAUAACAGGUUAAUUUGUAAAUAGGGGUAGUUUUGGAAUCUGAAAAAUAUAAUAAAUCAUAUUUUAAGUUAGAUUAGGUAACUUGCUUAGUUGGAUCUUAGUCAUAAGGUUUUAUUUGAAAAAAUUGGAUAUUUUAAAUAGAAAAAUAAAGAGAAGAACUACAGGUGAUUAAAAAUGAAUUUUAUGAGUCUAAGCUUAAUUUACUAUUCUUUUUUUAAUAUAACAUUUGUGUUUUAAAAAGCAAAAGGAAGACAAUAUGGUUUUUAUUUUUGUAUUGAAGUGAUAUUAUAAACUGAACCUAGAACUUUAGAUAUGGAAUAAAUAUUCUUAACAACUCGAAAAACAGCAGUUUGAAGAAAGAUUAGUGAACAUUCCAAAGUUUGGUGUACGGAUAUAGUUAAACUGAUUGUUUGAUCAGUUUAACUAUGGACUCUGUUGACUCAUUGACUUUGGGACCCAUGAGUAGUCGUGAGUCGUGACUAGGAAGGAACAGAAACGCAUGCAUGAUGCAUGCAGUACCUUCCUUCCAGACUCCGAGUCCACUUGGUAUUAAUUACACUAUUGACAUAUUGUAUGCAUAAUGUAUGUAUGUGUAUUGACAGAGAACCUUCUUACCUUCAUUUUCAUUUUUUGUCUUUUCCUUGAAAGAUAAUUAACAUAAGAGAACGGGUGGACAAAGUCGAUCGACCAAAAAAUGACAACAAAAAAAUUGUAACGGGUUAGGGCGGGGUUUGAGAACGAUGGUAUGGAGCAAAUGCUAGAAAAUUAAACCCUCCAAAUAGUUUAUAUAAGGCCAAUAGUAUGCUUAAACUUAAAUCUACAGCUAGCUAGGCUUGUUAACUAUAUUCAUUUCUAGCUCCUCCUCUUUCCUCAGGUUUUUUCAUGGGUUUCUUCUCUGUGUUUCUGUUCCUAAUUCUCUGCUCUUUCGAAAAGGCCAUUAUUGCUCUGGCAGCAACAAGUCCAGAACCCCACCUUCCGCCACACACUACUCACACAGUAGAAAUAAACUCUCUUCUACCAGCAACCACCUGCACCCCCUCCACCAAAGGUUAAUUCAUUUCAAACCCCAUUUUAAUUACGCUGUUAAUUCUCUCUCUCUCUCUCUCUCUCUCUCUCUCUCUCUCUCUCCCCCUAUAUAUAUAUAUAUAUAUAUAUAUAUUCAAUAUUCAUAUAUUGUCUGGCUAUAUACGCUGUUAAUUCCAAUGGCGCAUGGGAGUAGAGACUGUGAAAUUCCCUCUAAUAUUCAUAUGCAUAGAAAAACAUACACAUUUUUUUUUUAAGUUUAGCAUAUUAAACUUAUACACACUACACAAAUGCUAUGACUCAACUCUAGAACCUUCCAUAAAAAAGCUAUUAUUCUAAAUCACUACACUAGUUGAUCUUUUUUUUUUAAAAAAAAAAACACACAUAAAGAGCCCCGUGCUUGGCCAAAAAAAAAUCUAAACCAAAUUUACUCUUUUUUUUUAUUUAUAGUAAAUUGAGCUUAGACCAAUAAAAUUCAUUUUAAGUUACCUACAACCCUUUCCUUUAGUUUUCUAUUUAAAAUACCCAAUUUUUUCAAAUAAUACCCGAUGAUUAUGAUCCAACUAAGCAAGUUACCUAAAAUAACUUAAAAUUUGAUUUAUUGUAUUUUUCGGAUUCCAAAACUACCCAUAUUUAUAAGUUAAUAAGUUAUAGGGGGUGUAACUAAUGACACCCGUUGAAUUUAGAAAGAUCUCCAAAUAGUUAUAAUGGAUGUAGGAACUAAUUCAAAAAUUUAUUUGAAAUUAAAUAUUAAAUUCCACAUUGAAGUAUUAUUAAUCUAUUUUACGACUAGUAAUCUAUUUUUGAAUUAAUGGUGUUUUUCUUCUAUGAAUUACGACUAGUAAUCUAUUUAAAGUAUUAGUAAUUUAAAUUCAAUAUUAAAUUUAGGAAUUAAUGUUGUUUUCUUUUUAUGAAUUAUACGACCGGUAUUCUUUUUAUUAUAGUUUUAUGAAUAAUAGUGUACGUUCUAAUUAUAUUGAAAAAUAAUUUGAUAAUCUAUUUAUUGUUUUGUUUUUAAAAUAUUUUUUUUAAUGAACCUAUUUUUCUCCAAAUAUUGUACCUAUUUUUUUCUUUUUUAUUGUUUUAUGAAAAUAUAUUUGAUCAUAUUUUUAUUGUUUGUUUUAUGAAAAUAUUUUUUUUACAUGAGCCUAUUUUUUCUCUCAAAAUAAUGUAUCAAUUUUUUUUCCUCUAAUAAUGUACCUAGUAAAACAAUUUACCUAGUAUGAUGAACCUAUUUUUUCUGCUGAAUUUUGUAUCUAUUUUUUUCUAUAAAUAAUGUACCUAUUUUUUUUCUCUAAUAAUGUAUACCUGGUAAAACAAAUUUUCUAGUAUAAUGAACUUAUUUUUUUCUUCUAAAUAAUGUGCAUAUUUUUAAUUUAUAAAAAUGUGUAUAAAUUUCAAUUAUACAACGUACCUAUUUUCUAUAAAUUAUUGUGUACCUAUUUUUAAUUUAUGAAAAAUGUACGAAAAUUUCAAUUACGAAGUAACUGACCUAUUUUUGUCAAAUUUUUUCGGUAAAUAAUAUACCGAUAUUGUUAUAGGUAUAUAUUUAUAUUUAUAUUUUUCAUAUGUGCAUUAUUGGAUAUGUAAUUUACAUAUUAUUUUUUUUAUUUGCAAUUUUAAGGGGCCAUAUGCUAGAGAGAAUGGCAACCGAAAGAAAUGGGGUGAUUGAUAUGCUAUUAAUAGGGAGUUUUAAUUACAAUUAUGGCAGUUAAUGAAAGGCUUGGAAUAAAUUAUAAAUAAAAUAUGAAGUUUGAUGGCAAUGAUGUAAAAACAUAUGAAUACUACGACCUCUUAUAUCCUACUGGUCAUUUAAGUUUGAAAUUGCGUUUUACACAUAAAUUUAUAGAAUGAUGGGUAUAUGCCUGGAAAAAUAGAAUUUGUAGGGCAUAUAUAGUAACAAAGAAAAACAACAAAAUAACAUAGCCCCCGUGCCCCAUUACCUUUGUGUCUCUCUCACCCACAUGGCAUGCAUGGUCUUGUUACCCGUAAACUAGUGGCAGGCAUGCACAGAUGGAUAUAAUUGUGAAUAUAUGCAUAAAGAGUCACAUGUAUACAUACACUCAUCCCUUUCAAUGACCAGGUCAUACCAAUAACAAGGCAUCAAUAUUGGAAGUGGUACACAAGCAUGGGCCAUGCUCUAUAUUCCACAAAUCAUCCAAAACUUCAACCACAAAAAGUGAUGACAAAUACCACGCUCAAAUCCUCAAGCAAGACGAAGCCCGAGUCAACUCAAUCCACUCCCGCCUCAACUACAGAAUCCACGACCCAUUCACCCAAUCCUCCGCCUCCGCCACCCUCCCAGCCAAGUCCGGUCUCCUUCUGGGCUCACCGAACUACUUAGUCACCGUCGGUCUCGGCACACCCGCCAAGCAACUCUCUCUCGAAUUCGACACCGGCAGCGACCUCACCUGGACCCAAUGCCGCCCAUGUCUUCGAUAUUGUUACACACAGAGCGAGCCCAUCUUCGACCCUUCUCUCUCUGCCUCAUACAAAAACUUAUCCUGUACAUCCGCCACGUGUACUCAACUCUCAUCCGCCGGCAUCCCACACCGUUGCUCCUCCGCCUCGUCCUCCUGCCUUUACGGCAUCCGGUACGGUGACGGGUCCUUCUCCAUCGGGGAUUUCGCCAAAGAAAAGCUUACAUUGACCUCCAUGGACGUUUUUGAAGGUUUCCUCUUCGGCUGUGGCCAAGACAACCAAGGCCUUUUCAACGGCUCUGCCGGUUUGCUCGGUCUCGGCCGAAACAACAUCUCCCUCGUAGAACAAACCGCCAUGAAAUACAACCGCUUCUUCUCCUACUGCCUUCCGUCAACUUCCAGCUCCACCGGUCAUCUCACCUUCGGCAACGGAGGAGGCUCCGCUAACGGCGUCAAGUUCACCAAGCUCACCACGUUAUCCGAAAGAGAGUCGUCGUUUUAUGGCCUCGGCCUCACCGGCAUCAGCGUAGGCGGGUGCCAGCUGCCGGUUGCGUCCUCGGUCUUUUCGUCUUCGGGAACCAUCAUCGACUCGGGGACGGUGAUCACGAGGCUGCCGGCGACUGCAUACACGGCUUUGCGGGACGCGUUUCGGGAGGGUAUGAAAAACUACACGAUGACUAUGUCGUUUUCGCUGCUGGACACGUGUUACAAUGUCAGUGGCUACGAGACGGUGUCGUUUCCGGAUAUUGCGUUUGGAUUUGGGGACGGGGUUACGGUGGACUUGGACGCGGCCGGGAUAUUGUUGGCGGUAAGUGAUUCGCAGGUUUGUUUGGCGUUUGCGGGAAACAAGGAUGAUAGUGACAUUGGGAUUAUUGGGAAUGUUCAACAGAAGCGGUUGGAGGUGGUGUAUGACGUGGCUGGUGGAAAAGUCGGAUUUGCCCCUGCAAGUUGCCCCUGAGUAAUGAACAUCGUCCAUGGGGCAUAAUUGUAACACAAACUGCUAGCUAUAGAAUAAAGCAUUGUGUUCCAUAUUUUUCUGUAAUGGGAUUGUAUUGGGAAGUAUCCAAUUCUUACCUUUCCCCACUACUUGUAUAAAAUAGUCUAAUGACCAAUCAAGCGAUAGUAUUUUAUAUAAUAAUAAAAUAAUCGAAUGUAUUGGAAGGAAAAUUCCAACUCAAAUACAAAAAGGGGUUUAUUGCCCUAAUCAAUUCUCCUAACUCACGUAUGUUGUCGGUGUUUUGAAGUAAUGCCACGUGUUAAUGUGCUGUUUCUCUUUUGAAAUAGCAAAAGUAGAACACUAAUCUCCAUCUCCUAGUUUGGGCUUGUUUUGCUUUUGGACUCGACCAGGCCAACUUUAGCACAAAAUGUCUUAAGAAGGACCUAAAAGAAAAUAAAAAAAGAAAAGGUCAAUGAAUUGGGAAGGCUUUGGCUUGGGCUUGGGGUGGUUCAGCUUCAAAUUUUAACCAGUGCCUAGGGUUCAGUGUAUUGGUUUCAGCGGAAAGGCUCGUCAGUCUGCAGUCUGUGUCUUGGGCUGCCUAUCCUUAACUAACCACUUUCUGAUUGCUUUGUGUAUGGGCUUUUUUUUUUCGGCAGCUACAAAUGGGCUAGGCUGCUAUAAGGAGCGAAUUGAUAAAAUUAUCUCUUGUGUUUAAGUUCAAAGAUCAAGCCCCAAGAAUGCUUCUAAAGGAUAGUGAAGCCUUAAGAAACACUUUGGUUACCUUCACCAACAAAAAUAACAACAGCUUACAGAUAAAUUCUUAGCUUGGCAUGAGAAGCUUGUGGCAUGGGAGCUAAGCAUUCAUGAAUUUAGCAUGAGAGAGAGAAAUGAUUGAGAUUUCCUAUGAGAAAUAGAGUUUUUAAGGCAUGAGGGAAGGGAUUCUAAAAGGAUUUGUUGUGGAGAGAGAGGGGGAGAGAGAUGAGGGCAAUGGGUGGCUUAAGUGUUUUUCCACCAGCUUGACAGAGGCUCUGUCAAAUGUUAAAACAGUCUACCAAAAAAGGGAAAAUGGGAGAGAAUGAUGAAUAUAGCACGAAUUUGCUAGGUUUUGCAAGUGAGAGAGGAAGCUUGCUCUCUGGACGUGGUUGUGGCUAGUGGUGGAGUAUUGGGUGUUUUUGGUAGUUUUUCAGCAGCCUGACAAAAGCUUGCCAGAAGAGAAAAUAGAAGGAGAUGGAGGAAUAGGGCACGAAAUUGCAGAGUUUCAGAGAUGAGAGAUGAAGCUUGCUCUCUAGAUGUAGGUUGAGAUAAUUGGUAGGAAAUGCUUCUUUUUAUAGGCAUUAGAAGCUACUUUUUUUCAAGAAACCCUAAUAGUUUCUAUCCAAUUUGGCCAAGCUUUUUUCCUUCAUUUCUUCUCCAUUCCUUUGACUUAUCCUAUUUGGUGAAAUUCUCUCUGCCCAAUUGCACAAAAACAGAGAUUUUGGGAGCUCAAUGCUCUUCUCACAGCUGCCUCAGUAGAGAACUCCCAUUUUCAGCCAUCUUUCUUCCUUCUUUACUCCCCUCUUCUAUGGCUAGAUCUGAUGGGGGGGAAAGAAAUGGGUAUGUACACUGGUUUGAAGGGUGUUUUGCUCAAGUAUCCCUUGGUUUUUCUGAUGGCUUGCGUUGGAUUUGUCUUUGGCCAUGUGCUGGAGAUUCCCAGCAGCCUGCAAAUGUGAGUGGCUUUUGGCUUUUAUCAUGGUUUUGUCUCCAACCAUGUACCGGAGACUUUCAAAUAUUUUGUUGGUCACUUGGGCCAUUCUUUAAGGUAAAGGCGCUAGUUCACUAAAGGGAUGGGCCAACUUCCCAAAGUGAUGGGCUAUCUUUUCUAAGGUAAUGAGCUAUUUUCUCUCCUUUAUGUUUACCCACAUAUUUGGGCUCAAGAAAUGGACUUGAGUUUCGGGAUUCCCAAGCAGCCCAAAACUUCCAUUUCUCAGCUCAUCAAUAGGCCUCAUGAAAGCUCGUAACCAUCUAUACCACAACCCAAUCAGCAAGCCCAAGGCAUUCGCGUGGCUUGGGUCCACUUAAACUUGUAGUGUGGCGUGUUGCUUAUUUGCUUGGCGUGGCACGUGUGCAAGCGUAUAUGAUGAACUCUUGCGUACCUAAAUUAGGUUUCUUCCCAAGUUAGGUGUCGUACUAGGCCGAGAAUUUAUUCGGGCCCAACAGUGGAUUUUUUGAACCUCAACACUUAGGUAGCAAAAAUCAGAGGACACAGAGAGAUAGAGAGAGGGAGACAGCCACAGACCAUCAAGUACUUUAAGUUAGGUUUGAUUCAUGAUAUUAACUGACUCUUAUAUUUGCUUUAAUAUCCAUGUGGAUGAAAUUUAAAAUGUGAUAUCAUGUGGUUAAGUAGUGGUGUAGGAUUUGUCUUUCAAUGGUUUCAACCAAUUUCGUGGAUGUUAAGAUUGAUAUAGGUUGGUUGACAAUAGGUAGAUCGUCCUUAUCGUUUCUAAUCCUAAUAUGACAAUGCCUUAUAUUAAUUUUCUAAUUUUUGGUUGAAUAUCUUAUUUGAACAAAGGCAUCUGAAAAUUUGAUCAUUUUGAUGUGUAGAGGCCAUUGUUACACUUCGCAAAGAAAAAUAAUGUAUAUCUUUUGCUGGACAAAAUUACGCUUAUAUAUAUGUGCUGGCUAGUGUGUUCCAUUUCUUUUUGUUUUGUUAUUUGGCAAAUGUUACACUUUUGUACAGGGGAACAAUACCACCCAUCUUUCCUUUUGAAGUGUUAUUUGAAGAAAAUGAUUUUGAAUGAUUUGAAAGAAUUACAUAUGCACUUUAAAAAAAAUGCAACCUUCAAAAAUACAUCCAAAUAGCUAAAUAAAGUAUUUCUUGUUUGUUUUAUGGGAAAUAUGAAACUUUGCUCCCACAGAUGAUAUUGACGGAGAAAAGAAAGAAUUUUCGUUCCUAAACCAAGAAGAGAAAUCACGUGGGUUUUUGAUCAGAAGAGGAGAUUGGAAUGAGUAGGAGGGUAUUUUAGAAAUUUUCUCCCCACUAAAAAUAUUAUCAAAAUAUUAAAUAGAAAGUUUCUUUUAAAAAAAGAAUAAAAGAUAGAGUCAAAAGUUAUUAACAGCUGGCGUCAUCUCAUUAGGCUGGGACACUGACGUGGACAGCUGACCAUAGCAUACCCAUGGCAGGGAAGUUUUUCUCCAGUGGAGGAGACUGUGCAGAAGAAGAUAGCCUUUUUUCUUAUGCUUUUCUUUCCUCUGCCCUUCUCUUUUCUAACUUGCUAUCAUGGUAUGGUUCUGAGCUUUCUCAUUCUCACGUCUUUGUUGUUGUAAUUCUAUCUGAGAAAUUUAUAAAAUUCUUCUCUGUAUUCUUUUUGGUCAGUUGGGUGAGUGCUGUUUGAUUGCCUUGUUGCUUUUUUUCUUCCCUGAUCUAGGGUUUAGGGUUUCAAACAUUUUAUUGAGCUUGAAGAGGAAGUGAUGAUGAUAAAGCAAGGACCUUUUGAUAAAGAUUACUACUUCCUGAUGUGGGCCUUUGACCAUAGAAAGAGAUCAGAUAAAGCAAGGAAAUGGGAGAAAAUAUACGCCCUUUGGCAUUUGAUGGUCCUUGUUGCUUGCUUGUAAGUUGUAAUUGUCGGUGAGCAGGCUUAGCUAAAGAGAGUAAAGGAAAGCAACAGUGAGAGAGAGAACUCUCCCUCCUCUCUUUUCCACACUUUCUCUCUCCAUCUUCUUUUCUUUAUCUCCUUUACUUUGCCACACCCAAAGCAAUACUUACUAAACUAACUAAUCCAAAAUGAUUAUUAAUUUAUUAACUGGGGUUAAUUGCUGCAGCCUUCAUCCCAAAGCAAUACUUACUAAACUAACUAAUCCACAGGCUUCUUGUGAGGCAAUCUUUUCUCUUAUUCAAUUACCCCAGUUAAUAUGAAACUGUUGAAAUCAAUAUUUAUAUAAAUACAAUUGCGAAAAAAUAUUUACGAAAUUUUGUAAGUAAUACGUAGAGCACGUGAUUUAAAAAAAAUAUCUCACAUAUGAGAAAGCGCGUACAAAAAGACUAAUAAAACAUAAACAAAAAGGAUAAUCCUCAAGGGGAGCCACUAAUUAUUGAUCAUAUACCAGACAACUCCCAUCUUUAUAUAACUUCCAUUUUCAUUUUUCUUUUAAUUUUGUAAUUUGUAAUUUGGAUUUUUGGGAGGUGGAGUGGGAUAAGAAUUAUAGGGUGCGGUUCGUGUACCUAGGAAACCGCCACGUUCUUUCUUUAGGAAAUUUGGGAUAAAGUUAAAAAAACAUAAGUUGGGAGGUAGUGAAAUUAAAAGCAAGGCCAUGUGUUUCAUGAAUCAAAAUCAGACAGUUUUGUGUCCCAGUGAUGCAGAGAUAUAUACAAAUAUCAUUUAGACUUUUGCUUUUGGGCUUUGAUCAGGAUCUGAUCCGUUAUCUCAUCACCUUUUUUUUUUCUUUUUCCUUUUUUUACUCUUCAGUUUCUGCAUGUGCGUUACACUAACAUCAUUACUAAUCUCCUUUUUAUCUAAGCUGUCUUUCUGUAAAGGUAACACUGAUAUUCCUUCCCCAUAAUUCAAAGAAAAAAGGAGUUUGAGAUGUGGAAAUAUGGAUUCCCGAAUCAAAACUUUUUGAUUUUGUUAACGAUUAUAGUGGGCCCAUCAGUACUGGGAAUUUGUCUGCUUAUUUUGAAUUGAAAGCUACCUCUUGUUGGAAAACCUUAAAAGUUGUUUCUUUCCAAGCCCACUUACACUUGCUGUGUAAACUAAUGAAGUCUACAUGAAAGCAAUCUCAUGUCCUAUUGUGUAUAUGCAUGUGCUUAAUUGGUGUAUAUUCUGUAGUACCACAACAGAAUGUUUAACAUUCAAUUGGGGCUAAUUCCAUGAUAGAGUGGUAAUUGAACAGUAUCAAUACAUCAAUAAGUGCACAGUUGGGUAUACACAAUGAUCAAAAGGAGACAAAACAUAACAGCGGUUUAAGUGUUUCAUAAGAGAGUAAAAUAGAAGAAAUUGAGAACUGUUCAUAAGCAAAUCUGCCCAUUCAUAAGCAUACGUCUAAUUAUAAAAUCAAAGAACAAGAUACUGAAUAAAAAUAAAGUGAGAAAGAGAGAUUGUUAAAUGCUCUCAGCAACCAAUCAUAUUGUAAAAUGAGAAAGAGAGAUGAUUGUCGUCAAACCUUGCUACAACGGCCGAGAUCUUUGGAUCCACUAGAAUCUCCCCUUUCAGCUUCAACCCCAGAUAUUUCUUUGUCUUUGUACCUCUCAACCUUGAAAGCCCUUGGAACAAGGUGGUUCUAUAUACCAGACAAAAGAAACCAAUUAUCAAAUUUAAUCAGAAACUCACAUUACCAACAAACAAAACCCAGCUAUCCAAAAAAAUUCAAGAAACCAAAAGACAAAGGGAAUAGAAAAAGCAAACUGACAUUUGAUUUCAAAAUCCCCAAUUUCUAGGGUUUGAACUGAUGAGAGCGAGGAGGAGAGAUGGACGAAAAGAUAGAGAGAGAGAGAGAGAGAGAGAGAGAGAGCACGCGAGCUUCAAGCUUCUCCCAUGGAAGCUAGCUUGAGUGAGAACCAGUAGCACAGAGCGAACCAGCAGAUCCAACGACAAGAGAAAAAAAAUUCAAGAAAAACGCAUUUGUUUUGUUUUGAAUAAUAAGGGUCUUUUUGCAAAUGACCCCAUUGGUGUAGUGGUUUGGAGUAUUUACUCCCUCAGACAAGGUCUUGGAUUCGAGUCCUAGCAUCCGCAUAGUGUGUGUGAGUUUAGUAUGCUAUCGCCCCUCUCAAUGAGUCCUGUUUACCUGUUACCAAAGUUCCUGUGGCCUCCUGUUUCCCUGCUAGUUUCGUGACAUGUGGCAAGCCACUUAACACCACUUAACUCUGUUAACUCUUUUUGCUUCUUUUUAUUGUUUGUUUUUUUUGCUUUUUCUCCCAGUUCUGCCCCUUGAGGGUUUAGGGUUUAGGGUUUAGAGCUGGUGUUUCGGCUCGAGUCCAUGUGUUGUUUUGGGCUGGUAAGGGAAAAAUGAGCGGAAAAGAUAAGAGAAGGUAGGGAAAAAGGGGGUGAAGGAGAAACUAAAAAAAGAAAUAAAAAAGGAGAUGAGAGAAAAAGAAAAACAAAGCAAAAGCAAAAGCAAAAAAAAAAAAGAAGAGAGAGAGAGAGAGAGAGAGAGAGAGAGAGAGAGAGAGAGAGAGAAUGUGGAGGUAGAGAUCUGGAAAAGAUAACAAAAAAAGAAGAAGAGGAGAGGAGACGACGGAGGGAGGGGGAGAGAAGAGAGAAAGGGGCAUAACAGGGAGAAAAAGAAAAAAAGAAAAAAAAAGCAAAAAGAAGCAAAAAGAGUAAACAAAGUUAAGUGGUUUUAAGUGGCUUGCCACAUGUCAUGAAAUUAGCAGGGAAACAGGGGGCACAGGAACUUUAGUAACAGGUAAAUCGGACUCCCUCUCAAUAGGAAAUAUCCACAAAACACAAAAGAAAAAAAGGUCUUUUAAAAUUUGUUUUGGAAUUGGAUUUUUAAAAAUAGACCUACCAAACGAGUUUUUGGGCUUUUGAAUUUAAAAUCAGUUUUUGAGUUUAUAAAAUUGGACUCAAAUCAAAUACCAAACAGACCCUUAAAGACUUAAUGUUUUCUUAAAAUAUUGCGUUUGUUUAUUUUAUAGAGUACAAUUAUAUGUUUUAAAUAAUUUUCAAAUUAUCUAAUAUUUUUUAAGAAUCAACUGUAAAUUAUGCCUGACGGUGAAAAUACAAUUUACCUCAAAAAUAACUAAUUAUUUGACGUUAUUUGACGUGUUGAGAAGGCUAAAUAUGGAGUCUACAGAAGUCUAGAGAGACUUGACUAGUUGACAUCCCUGUCUCCAAUUAGCCUAUAUAGGGCCAAGAGUAUGCUUACAUUACAGCAGCAACUCAAUAAUCUAGAGGCACUCUUGUUAAUUAUUCAUGGCAACUCCCAUUAUUUCUAGCUCCUCCUUCCUUAGGUUUUUCAUGGCUUUCUUCUCUGUAUUUCUAUGCCUAAGUCUCUGCUCUUUCGAGAACGGAUUUGCUUUGGCAGCAAGAGAUACAAAACCCCACCCUCUCCCACAUACCACUCACACAGUUGAAGUGAAGUCUCUUCUACCAGCAACCACCUGCAGCCCCUCCACCAAAGGUUAAUUCAUCCCAUAUUAUAUAUAUAUAUUAAUUUCAAACCCCAUUUUAUGUGCAUUUAUGUAUCUCUAACACACACACACACACUCUGUCUCUGUCUCUCUCUCUCUCUCUCUCUCUCUCUCUCUCUCUCUCUAUGCAUACAUGUUUCAAUGAUCUCAGGUCAUAACAUUAACAAGGCAUCAUCGGUACUGAAAGUGGUGCACAAACAUGGGCCAUGCUCCAAUUUCCACAAAUCAUCAAAAACUUCAACCACAACUUGUGAUGAAAAAUACCAUGCUCAAAUCCUCAAGCAAGACCAAGCCCGAGUCAACUCAAUCCACUCCCGCCUCAACCACAACAACAACAAAGACCCACUCACCCAAUCCGCCGCCACCACCCUCCCCGCCAAGUCUGGUCUCGUUAUCGGCACAGGGAACUACAUUGUCACCGUCAGCCUCGGUACACCCGCCAAGCAACUCUCCCUCGCCUUCGACACCGGCAGCGACCUCACCUGGACCCAAUGCAAGGCAUGUUCUGCUACUCAGUCUUGUUACAAACAGAGAGAGCCCAUCUUCAACCCUUUUCUCUCCGCCUCAUACAAAAAAAUCUCAUGUACCACCGCCGCGUGUACUCAGCUCUCAUCCAUCGGCGUCCAACACGG